UACGAAGGGGGCGAGCGUUGUUCGGAUUUACUGGGCGUAAAGGGCGCGCAGGCGGCUAUCCAAGUCAGGCGUGAAAGCCCCGGGCUUAACCUGGGAGGUGCGUCUGGGACUGGGUGGCUAGAGUUCGGGAGAGGAGAGUGGAAUUCCCAGUGUAGCGGUGAAAUGCGUAGAUAUCGGAAGGAACACCAGUGGCGAAGGCGACUUCCUGGACAGAUACUGACACUGAGGCACGAAAGCAUGGGGAGCAAACAGG
This 253-nucleotide ribosomal RNA is filed under the name uncultured bacterium. RNAcentral describes it as "partial 16S ribosomal RNA". It matches the Rfam family "Bacterial small subunit ribosomal RNA", at positions 524 to 776 of the family's 1533-position model. The record is from RNAcentral.